GCUUCGGUGGUCGAGUGGGAAGACGCUGGAUUGCAAAUCCAGAAAUCGCGGGUUCAAAUCCCGCUCGAAGCU
Molecule: transfer RNA, 72 nt
Filed under: bacterium
Lineage: Bacteria
Rfam family: tRNA
About the family: Transfer RNA (tRNA) molecules are approximately 80 nucleotides in length. Their secondary structure includes four short double-helical elements and three loops (D, anti-codon, and T loops). Further hydrogen bonds mediate the characteristic L-shaped molecular structure. tRNAs have two regions of fundamental functional importance: the anti-codon, which is responsible for specific mRNA codon recognition, and the 3' end, to which the tRNAs corresponding amino acid is attached (by aminoacyl-tRNA synthetases). tRNAs cope with the degeneracy of the genetic code in two manners: having more than one tRNA (with a specific anti-codon) for a particular amino acid; and 'wobble' base-pairing, i.e. permitting non-standard base-pairing at the 3rd anti-codon position.
Source: Rfam by way of RNAcentral